Molecule: long non-coding RNA, 1383 nt
Filed under: Ananas comosus (pineapple)
Lineage: Eukaryota; Viridiplantae; Streptophyta; Magnoliopsida; Poales; Bromeliaceae
Description: long non-coding RNA (ACOM_LNC027050)
Source: RNAcentral
UUAGUUUUACUUUCUUUCUUUUUUCUUUCUUUUUUACUACCUGCUGAUGGAUUCGAUGAAGCGGCUCAACGAUCUCUCUCUCUUUCUGCGGCUCGGCGAUUUCUCCUUCUUUCCGCGGCUUGAGUGAUAUCUCCUCCUUUCCUCGGCUCGGCAAUGUAUCCUCCUUUCAGCAGCUCGGCAAUAUCUCCUCCUUUGAAUAUUUUGAACUUGGAAGUGUGUAGCAAUCUAUCUAUCGUGUCGUCUCUCUCCAAAAAAUUUCUCCCCGAAUUUGAUUUCGGUUCCCAUAUUUAUAAUGGGAAGGGAGGAGUUAGUUAAGAAUUCAAAAUUCGAAAUUCGAAUUUUGAAUUAUUUGUUGGAUGGUUGGAGGAUAUUUGGGGGGUGGUUGGGAGUUCAAAAUUCGAAUUCGAAAUCGAAUGAGUUGUUGGAUAGUUGGAAGAUAUUUUGGGAGUUGGUUAGGGAAUUCAAAAUUCGAAAUCGAAUUUUGAAUGGGUUGUUGAAUGAUAUUUUGGGAAUUUGGUUGGGAAUUCGAAAUUCGAAAUCGAAUUUCGAAUAGGUUGUUGGAUGAUGUUUUGGGAAAUGGCUGAAAAUUCGAAAUUCGAAAUCGAAUUUUGAAUGGGUUGUUGGAUGAUGUUUUGAGAAUUGGUUGAGAAUUCGAAAUUCGAAAUCGAAUUUCGAAUGGGUUGUUGGAGGAUGUUUUGGGAAUUGGUUGAGAAUUCGAAAUUCGAAUCGAAUUUCGAAUGUGUUGUUGGAUGAUAUUUUGGGAAUUUCAAAUUCGAAUUUUGAAUGGAUUAUUGGAGGAUAUUUUGGUAAUUUGUUGGGGGUUCAAAAUUCAAAAUUCGAAUUUUGAAUGGAUUAUUAGAUGGUAUUUUGGGAAUUCAAAAUUCGAAAUUCGAAUUUUGAAUGGAUUAUUAUUUGAAAUCGGAUUUCGACUAGAAACUUUAUAAGGUGUGGGUGUGGGCCGUCGUUGAUCAGACCCACCUUAAUUUAUUGGGUUCAAAUGAUAAUGAGCUGAAAUAAAGGCCCACCCUCACUUUUUUUUUUUAUUUUUUUUUAUUUUUUUAUUUAUUUGUUUGGGCUUUCGUAAUGGCUCACCCACUCACAUUUUUUUUUUAUUUGUUUGGGCUUUCGUAAGGGCCCACCCACUCACAUUUUUAAAUGGGCUUAUUGUAUAUUAUAAUUAUUGAUCCGAGAAAAUUAAUGAUUAAUACGAGACCUAUUAGAAUUGUAUGAACUCGAAUCUAAUCAUUUUUUUAUUAGGAUUAGGAUUGUUUCAACCUAUAUAUAUAUGUAUGACAAGUAUUAUUUUACCUCAAACAACCGGUCCCUCUGGACGGAAACUGCCCAGUCCGGGCUGAUGUAAAUUGGACUUUUUGAGGGGCCUAG